This 95-nucleotide non-coding RNA is filed under the name Gulosibacter sp. 10. Its description in RNAcentral is "TPP riboswitch aptamer (THI element)". It matches the Rfam family "TPP riboswitch aptamer (THI element)". From Rfam's summary of the family: Vitamin B(1) in its active form thiamin pyrophosphate (TPP) is an essential coenzyme that is synthesised by coupling of pyrimidine and thiazole moieties in bacteria. Lineage: Bacteria; Bacillati; Actinomycetota; Actinomycetes; Micrococcales; Microbacteriaceae. RNAcentral also lists the same sequence under 1 other name. The record is from Rfam by way of RNAcentral.
GCCGCAGACACGGGGUGCCCCGCAGAGGGGGCUGAGAUCACACCCGGGAACCUGAUCGAGUUCGCACUCGCGGAGGGAUGUCGUCGAUGGACGCA